UACGGGGGGGGCAAGCGUUGUUCGGAAUUACUGGGCGUAAAGGGCUCGUAGGUGGCCAACUAAGUCAGACGUGAAAUCCCUCGGCUUAACCGGGGAACUGCGUCUGAUACUGGAUGGCUUGAGUUUGGGAGAGGGAUGCGGAAUUCCAGGUGUAGCGCUGAAAUGCGUAGAUAUCUGGAGGAACACCGGUGGCGAAGGCGGCAUCCUGGACCGGCAUUGACGCUGAGGCGCGAAAGCCAGGGGAGCAAACGGG
RNAcentral lists this ribosomal RNA (253 nucleotides) under uncultured bacterium. RNAcentral's name for it is "partial 16S ribosomal RNA". It matches the Rfam family "Bacterial small subunit ribosomal RNA", at positions 524 to 776 of the family's 1533-position model. The record is from RNAcentral.